RNAcentral lists this ribosomal RNA (879 nucleotides) under uncultured bacterium. RNAcentral describes it as "bacterial SSU rRNA". It matches the Rfam family "Bacterial small subunit ribosomal RNA", at positions 1 to 895 of the family's 1533-position model. The record is from RNAcentral.
CCUUAGAGUUUGAUCCUGGCUCAGGACGAACGCUGGCGGCGUGCUUAACACAUGCAAGUCGAGCGGUAAGGCCUUUCGGGGUACACGAGCGGCGAACGGGUGAGUAACACGUGGGUGACCUGCCCCCUACUCUGGGAUAAGCCUGGGAAACUGGGUCUAAUACCGGAUAUGACACAGUCUUGCAUGGGGUUGUGUGGAAAGUUUUUUCGGUGGGGGAUGGGCCCGCGGCCUAUCAGCUUGUUGGUGGGGUGAUGGCCUACCAAGGCGACGACGGGUAGCCGGCCUGAGAGGGCGACCGGCCACACUGGGACUGAGACACGGCCCAGACUCCUACGGGAGGCAGCAGUGGGGAAUAUUGCGCAAUGGGCGGAAGCCUGACGCAGCGACGCCGCGUGGGGGAUGACGGCCUUCGGGUUGUAAACCUCUUUCGACUUCGACGAAGCCUUCGGGUGACGGUAGGGGUGGAAGAAGCACCGGCCAACUACGUGCCAGCAGCCGCGGUAACACGUAGGGUGCGAGCGUUGUCCGGAAUUAUUGGGCGUAAAGAGCUCGUAGGCGGUGUGUCGCGUCGGCCGUGGAAACCUGCAGCUUAACUGUGGGCUUGCGGUCGAUACGGGCAUCACUGGAGUUCGGCAGGGGAGACUGGAAUUCCUGGUGUAGCGGUGAAAUGCGCAGAUAUCAGGAGGAACACCGGUGGCGAAGGCGGGUCUCUGGGCCGAUACUGACGCUGAGGAGCGAAAGCGUGGGGAGCGAACAGGAUUAGAUACCCUGGUAGUCCACGCCGUAAACGUUGGGCGCUAGGUGUGGGGGCCAUUCCACGGUCUCUGUGCCGUAGCUAACGCAUUAAGCGCCCCGCCUGGGGAGUACGGCCGCAAGGCU